Long non-coding RNA from Homo sapiens (human), 665 nucleotides. Ensembl annotates it as long intergenic non-protein coding RNA 2624. The record is from Ensembl. Lineage: Eukaryota; Metazoa; Chordata; Mammalia; Primates; Hominidae.
GGGUGUACCUGAAAAAGAGAAGAGAAAGGAGCAGAAAAAAAUAUUUUAAGAAUAAUGAGUGAAAACUAAAAAUUGAUGAAAAAAUGAUCUGCACAUCAAAGAAGCCCAUUGAACCCCAAGUAGGAUGAAUGCAAAAAGAUCUACCCAGGUAUAUCAGAGUAAGAAUGCUGAAAUCUAAAGACAGAAAAUACUGCAAGCAGCAAGUGGAAAAUGACUUUGCUUGGACACAGGAAACUUAGUGAGAUUAAGAUCUUCUCAUCAGGAAUAAUGGCGACCAGGAAAGAGUGGGGUGACAUAUUCAAAGUACUGAAAGAAGAAAUAAAAAACAAAAAAAAGCUGUCAACCAAGAAUUAUACAUCCAGCAAAACUAUCUGUAAAAAUGAAGAUGAAAUAAAUAUAUUCUCAGAUAACAGAAGCACUGAGAAAAUAUAUUCUUAGCAGACUCAUCUUACAAAAAUACUUAGAAAUUUCGUCAGGCUGAAAAUCCAAGCAAAGUCUAUGUUGCCUUCACCAGUGUUCAGAUACACCUGGCUGCUUUCUGAAAAGAUGGAGACCAUUUUUACCCAACAGCAUCAGCUCAGAUUCUUGUGAUUAUAACACAGCAUGAUUGCUGCUUCAUGCCUUCUGCCAUGUGAGGACACAGUGAGAAGAUGGACAACUAUGAA